AAAAUGACCACACCCAGAACAGUUGCGUUGUCUGCUUUCUAAGACAGCGUCUCUAGUGCUUGACUAUGAGAUUUUGGGUUGUGUUGUGAGAGGUCCCAUUUAGAAAUUACCAGGCGGCCGGCUUCGCGGCGUUAGGUACCUUUGCACACAUUAAAUCUGCAACAGCAAAUGCUCUGACGAGACAGAGCGUGAAAUGAAUUUACACUACCAAUGAAAUGAAAAUGCACCCAAAGCAUUGUAAAGGGAUGAAAUGUCCAGUGUGUGUAGUCCUGGGCUACAUUAUUACAUCGUGUGCAGCCAAAGAAACCAACAAGACAUGGUAAAGCCUUCCUGAGAACCUGGGAUUUGACUAUGAUGACACAUACGACGAAUGCUGACGCCCAACAAUAGAAUUUACCCCAAGAGGAGGCUGACGUCCGGACCAAGACAGUAUACAGGACAACUGGAAUGAACAAGAGGGCGGAGCCCGGACGGAUGAGAGAAAUGGAGGAGGAUGUGAAGGCAGAACCCGGGGCAUACUGUAGUGCGAUUUGCAGUGAACGCAUACGUGGACUGCUUUAUCCAACUCUGGCAGCCUUGGAUGGACAACAAGCUCAGAAAUCAGUGCGCUUGGUGCAAAAUCUCAGUUUCUUCACGAAUAUCUAAUAUUCAUCUUAUACAUAAAAUUGGUCCCUCUCCUUCAGGCAAAUUAAAAAAUAGUUAACGGACAUUUGAUAUACUUCAGGCAGAUUCAAAAACAUUAAAGUUAACGGCCAUUCAGUAAACUAUCUUUUAGAAAAACCUUAACAGAAUAAGCACCUCUCCUAAACUGCCAGCAGCCACAGCAAAUAUAAAAAAAAUAAAAUUAGAUUUUG
Long non-coding RNA from Macrobrachium nipponense, 854 nucleotides. RefSeq lists it as uncharacterized. Lineage: Eukaryota; Metazoa; Arthropoda; Malacostraca; Decapoda; Palaemonidae. The transcript is spliced from 3 exons. The record is from RefSeq and is a predicted model, not a curated record.